UUUGUAGUUAGUUAAUAUGCUAGUAUUGAGCUAGUUAGUGAUUUUUUUGUUUAGUCCACAUUAUUAAGGCAACACGUAUCUAUCGCCAGCCUGCUAACCAGCGGAGUGUAGCUGCUUAAACUUAAACUAAACUUCGUAGGAGCGAAAAAAGGCUGUUAAAUUGGCCGUAAUCUUUCUGUUUAGGAGGCUUCUCUUUGUUUGCUGUGGUCUUCUUUCGCUAACGUAACGUAGUUAGGUUUCUUUACUGCCUCUCUCGGUUUGGGCUCCCCCUCUCCUUUUUUUGUCAGUUUGAAGGCACAUCAAAUGGCGACGAACUGUUAACGUCCCCGGGUUAGCCUAUUAUUUCGACGCGGAGGAGAAGUGUAAUCUCAGGGACGGCGUGCAGAAGAAACUCGCUGGCCGCAGGGCAAAGCUCCGUCAUAUCUUAUCCAGCCUGCUGUAAUCUUUUGCAGAAGUUAAAGCCAUUAAAACGGAAAGUGGUGCUUAAAAUGGCGAAAACUUGUUCACACAGUCCCUGAUUCACCUGGGUUCUUUCAAACAGCUUCUCAAUCAGAGGCUGACCCCAGAGUUCACAGCUGUAAUUGAGAAGUCUCACAGGCACGUGCACACGGGGGCCCAGGAGAGACCACCGCCGCCGCAGUGAGGCCGCUACCUCUCCAGAAAGAGGCAGUGAAAGGUAUGUGGAAAAAAUAUUUAAAACGUAUGAUAAAAUUAUUAUUUUUUUUAUCUUUCUUUUUUAGUAAUGCCUUAUGUUUCACUUAACCUCUUUAUAUGAAAUAUUCAGCACUACAAAAUGCAGGCAAAUGCCACACAUUCACCCUUGAUGCUGAACAUUAAAAGUUAAUUAGAUGCUCACCCUUAAAGUUUUAUAGCUG
This 875-nucleotide long non-coding RNA is filed under the name Astyanax mexicanus (Mexican tetra). RNAcentral describes it as "lncRNA (ENSAMXG00005001263.1)". Lineage: Eukaryota; Metazoa; Chordata; Actinopteri; Characiformes; Acestrorhamphidae. The record is from RNAcentral.